This 253-nucleotide ribosomal RNA is filed under the name uncultured bacterium. RNAcentral describes it as "partial 16S ribosomal RNA". It matches the Rfam family "Bacterial small subunit ribosomal RNA", at positions 524 to 776 of the family's 1533-position model. The record is from RNAcentral.
UACAGAGGGUGCAAGCGUUGUUCGGAAUCACUGGGCUUAAAGGGCGCGUAGGCGGGUGCUCAAGUCCGGGGGGAAAUCCUCCAGCUCAACUGGAGAACUGCCUCGGAUACUGGGUGCCUCGAGGGUGGUAGGGGUAUGCGGAACUAUCGGUGGAGCGGUGAAAUGCGUUGAUAUCGGGAGGAACACCAGUGGCGAAGGCGACUACCUGGCCUGUUCUUGACGCUGAGGCGCGAAAGCUAGGGGAGCAAACGGG